GAUGAACGCUGGCGGCGUGCCUAAUACAUGCAAGUCGAGCGAACGGACGAGAAGCUUGCUUCUCUGAUGUUAGCGGCGGACGGGUGAGUAACACGUGGAUAACCUACCUAUAAGACUGGGAUCACUUCGGGAAACCGGAGCUAAUACCGGAUGAUAUUUUGAACCGCAUGGUUCAAAAGUGAAAGACGGUCUUGCUGUCACUUAUAGCUGGAUCCGCGCUGCAUUAGCUAGUUGGUAAGGUAACGGCUUACCAAGGCAACGAUGCAUAGCCGACCUGAGAGGGGGAUCGGCCACACUGGAACUGAGACACGGUCCAUGCUCCUACGGGAGGCAGCAGUAGGGAAUCUUCCGCAAUGGGCGAAAGCCUGACGGAGCAACGCCACGUGAGUGAUGAAGGUCUUCGGAUCGUAAAACUCUGUUAUUAGGGAAGAACAGAUGUGUAAGUAACUGUGCACAUCUUGACGGUACCUAAUCAGAAAGCCACGGCUAACUACGUG
This 497-nucleotide ribosomal RNA is filed under the name uncultured bacterium. RNAcentral's name for it is "partial 16S ribosomal RNA". It matches the Rfam family "Bacterial small subunit ribosomal RNA", at positions 28 to 507 of the family's 1533-position model. The record is from RNAcentral.